Molecule: transfer-messenger RNA, 154 nt
Filed under: Pseudomonadales bacterium
Lineage: Bacteria; Pseudomonadati; Pseudomonadota; Gammaproteobacteria; Pseudomonadales
Description: partial transfer-messenger RNA
Rfam family: transfer-messenger RNA
About the family: Bacterial tmRNA, also known as 10Sa RNA or SsrA, is named for its dual tRNA and mRNA-like properties. Its role is to liberate the mRNA from a stalled ribosome.
Source: RNAcentral
GGGGGCGACUUGGCUUCGACGUCGAUUACGAACCCCAAGGUGCAUGCCGAGAGGGUAGUAACUCUCGUAAAUCAAUUACUGCAACUAAUUAUAGUUGCCAACGACGAAAACUACGCACUAGCGGCCUAAAACCCCGCUUACGUCAAUGAUCCGU